GCCUUCGUGGUGUAGUGGUCAGCACGCUCGGCGCGUAUUCUAGAGGUCCGUGGUUCGAGUCCCGGCGAAGGCA
RNAcentral lists this transfer RNA (73 nucleotides) under Stegodyphus mimosarum. It matches the Rfam family "tRNA". From Rfam's summary of the family: Transfer RNA (tRNA) molecules are approximately 80 nucleotides in length. The record is from Rfam by way of RNAcentral. Lineage: Eukaryota; Metazoa; Arthropoda; Arachnida; Araneae; Eresidae.